CUCCUCUGCGUCGAUGCCUCUGUUCUUCCCCGAUCCUUUCUUCUCCUCAUCCAUCGCCCAUCUUAUCUCGCAUCUCUCUCUCCCUUGCUCCCACACGCGACCUUGCCAUGUCGCCUUGAUCGCUGACGUCCCAACCCUUGCCUCGCCACUGACCACAGUCGAUGGUCGUUGCCCAACCCAAGUAAUGCGAGUCGUACCCUAGCUUCGUAUCGCUGCAUCGGCAUCGUCUCUUACUUCUCAAGCCGACAUCGUCAGCCAUGGUGUGAGCACCGUCACUUACUCCUCUUCGACAACGAGCAAGAGCCAUUAGCCUCCCUAGUGUGACUCCCUCUCUCCCUCUCGUGUGGCGCCCAUCGCACCUUUGAACCCGCCUCUGCCCGAUCACUGGUCAUCGUCACCCUGAUGUCGCCUACCUCCUCCCCUUUUCCUAUCACGGAAGGGGGUUACUAUCAUCUGAGGUGGGAUUGUAAUUGGAGAGCCAAGACGUUGUGGGAGGUCGAGCUGCCACCAUUUCACUGCUGAUGUCGUCGAGCCUUAGCCUCGUGUUUCUUCCGAUCUCAUCUUCUCCUCUCCACUACUGCUAGCAGCUAGCUCUGCCGACAGCCAGUCCUAAUUAGUUCUACUCUAGCCACAGUGAACCGCUAGAGAGGAAGGAGGUCAUCUGUUGAUUUGGGUAACAGAUUUCAUUUGUUAGAUUUAAUUUAGUGAUGACAUAUCUCUGUUCAUAUCUUCCUAGAACUAUAACCUCGAAGAUGUUCGGAGUAUUGCCUGGGAGGGAUUCAUUCCACCAUAAGUUUUGGUUGGAGAAGGAGAACAGUGUUUGGGACGUUGAUUCGAGACGAGCGUCUCGACGUGGGAUUUGGUUUAGCACGAUCGACAGAUAAAGAUAAAAGGUGGCAGACAUUCCAUGUUGGAUCAUUGAAUUGGUUUAGUGGUUCCUUUCCUAUCAACGCUAGACAACUGCAAUGCAAGAUUGUCUCAACAAACUUAGUUGGUUUGUUAAUUCGUACGAAGUAAUUUAUCUUAUGGAGUUCGAGACAAGGGAGGACAGAGGGAAGAAAUUGUAGACAUGCAUGCUACUAGCAAGAGGAUAGAACUCCUUAUCAUAGAAAAUAAAUAGAGAGAAGAAAAGUUUAUCGAGUAAGGUAGGCAAAGCAAAGAAAAUCUCAGGGAAAAGGUUUGUAAAAUGAUUCAAGAGAUAGAAUAUUCAAAUCAUUUAUGUCUACGAGGAUUUGGUCCUGUGACCAUGAGUGUCUUGAUAGAAUGUAAAGAUUAGAUUAUUUGAGGAGAGAUUUUAAAAUGUAUACAUUUUCUUAGAUGAUGUAAAUAUUUAUUUAUCCCAAUAUUAAUUCUA
This is a long non-coding RNA of Zingiber officinale, 1354 nucleotides long. RefSeq lists it as uncharacterized. The record is from RefSeq and is a predicted model, not a curated record. The transcript is spliced from 4 exons. Lineage: Eukaryota; Viridiplantae; Streptophyta; Magnoliopsida; Zingiberales; Zingiberaceae.